AGCCCGCUCAGAAACUCAAAGGAAUUGACGGGGGCCCGCACAAGCGGUGGAGCAUGUGGUUUAAUUCGAUGAUACGCGAGGAACCUUACCUGGGCUCGAACGUAAGAUGACUGUAGGUGAAAGCUUACAUCUCUUCGGAGCAUUUUACGAGGUGCUGCAUGGUUGUCGUCAGCUCGUGCCGUGAGGUGUCGGGUUAAGUCCCAUAACGAGCGCAACCCCUAUUGCUAGUUACCAUCAUUAAGUUGGGGACUCUAGCGAGACUGCCAGUGAUAAACUGGAGGAAGGUGGGGAUGACGUCAAAUCAUCAUGCCCCUUAUGACCUGGGCUACAAACGUGAUACAAUGGCUGGAACAAAGGGAUGCGAAGCAGUGAUGUGGAGCGAAACCCAUAAAAACAGUCUCAGUUCGGAUUGAAGUCUGCAACUCGACUUCAUGAAGUCGGAAUCGCUAGUAAUCGCGGAUCAGAACGCCGCGGUGAAUACGUUCUCGGGGUUU
Molecule: ribosomal RNA, 494 nt
Filed under: uncultured Acholeplasma sp.
Lineage: Bacteria; Bacillati; Mycoplasmatota; Mollicutes; Acholeplasmatales; Acholeplasmataceae
Description: bacterial SSU rRNA
Rfam family: Bacterial small subunit ribosomal RNA
Source: RNAcentral